RNAcentral lists this ribosomal RNA (460 nucleotides) under uncultured bacterium. RNAcentral's name for it is "partial 16S ribosomal RNA". It matches the Rfam family "Bacterial small subunit ribosomal RNA", at positions 338 to 795 of the family's 1533-position model. The record is from RNAcentral.
CCUACGGGAGGCAGCAGUGAGGAAUAUUGGUCAAUGGACGAGAGUCUGAACCAGCCAAGUAGCGUGAAGGAUGACUGCCCUAUGGGUUGUAAACUUCUUUUAUAUGGGAAUAAAACGUUCCACGUGUGGGAUUUUGUAUGUACCAUAUGAAUAAGGAUCGGCUAACUCCGUGCCAGCAGCCGCGGUAAUACGGAGGAUCCGAGCGUUAUCCGGAUUUAUUGGGUUUAAAGGGAGCGUAGGUGGAUUGUUAAGUCAGUUGUGAAAGUUUGCGGCUCAACCGUAAAAUUGCAGUUGAAACUGGCAGUCUUGAGUACAGAAGAGGUGGGCGGAAUUCGUGGUGUAGCGGUGAAAUGCUUAGAUAUCACGAAGAACUCCGAUUGCGAAGGCAGUUCACUGGACUGCAACUGACACUGAGGCUCGAAAGUGUGGGUAUCAAACAGGAUUAGAUACCCUUGUAGUC